CAAGCCGUGCGCUGCACCCCCGGCUCCUUCCCGGCCUCGCGGGCCCCAGGCCCGACACCUCCGCACCCACACUCUGCCCAGGCACAGCUCACCCCCUGCCCCAACCCAAGGCAGUUCUAUAAUGGAAAAUUUCUGAGAACCAAACUUAAUCCAAGAGAAGAAAGAGAAGAACUCCUGACACCCUUGUUCCUGUGCCGGAGUCCACAGAUGAAGCCAGAAACCUGCCCCCGUUGGGGCCAAGAACGUCUACUUUCUUUCAUUCAUUUUGAUGUCUAAGGGCCAAGUGCACAACAGAGUGUGAAACCUGUUUGGUAGAGAGGCUGCGCAGAGCACGCUCUCCGGUUUCCCGGCCUUCUGAACAUCGGGCCCCCACGCCAGCCUGGGUCACCCCUUAGACCUUUACAGUUGGCAUGAACAACUUUGCUUCUGCAGUUCUUCAAAACGUGCUCACCUUCGUCACUCUGAUCCACAUCCACUUGGACUGACGGGGCCAGCGGCCGUCCAAGAUGAUGAGAAAGUCCAGACGCCAGAGCUCAGGCCAUGUGACAAAGGCUUGGCUCGUCCUGGUUCGAGUCCCUCCCCAAAGCACCACAGACAAAAAGCCCAGCAGGAACCCAGACUGAACCCAGGUGAAGGACAGGGAGAGCUGACUGCCAGGACGGUGCGCUGUGAUUACCACCGAAAAAUUCAGUGCAGGACCGCAGACACCAGCGGGGUGCAAACUAGGAGCCCUUGGGGAAUCAAAAUGUUUUGUAGUAUUGACACUUUGUGGGGUUCAGAGGAUGGUAAUGAAACGAGUCUGACAUCAGCCGUCACCACUGUUUCCCUGGACCCGUCCACCCCGCCCUCCUUCACACCUGGCCCCUGGUGGUCAGUGUGAAGGGGCUUUAAGGGAAACUGAGCUUGGAACCACUUCCGUUCAGGCGAUGCUGCUUGUAUUGAACCUGACAGAGGCACCCCGCUUCUGUGCUGAGGGGCCGCUGUUCCGCGUUCAGCAGAGGCCUGGCUUCCAGUUCAGCUGUGGGGAAAGGAGCUUCCUGACAUGGAAAGCGGGCUGAUCUCAACCAGAACUGAGCACAUGCCUGGAGUUGGGCUGCGCCUCAUUCACCACACAGACGUCCAGUUGCUCGGAGAUGGCGGAGGACAGUACAGGUGUCGGCUCCUAAUUGUACCAUCCAGCCUGAAGCCAGAGGAGUUUCCUUUGGUUGAUAAUUCUGUGCCCCUUCUGGCAUGCCACCCUGGUGGCCUCUGUUGGAUUUAUAAGAAGUAAGUUGGCGAUGACUGAAAGGAUUUGAAAGAGUGCAAACUUUGUGCGGAAUGGAGAAGUGGACCAUGCAAUCACGAAGGAGCUGAGCUCAAUGCACCUGAGUCACGGCUCUUCUGAGAGUGGCUCAAACGGAGAUGGUAUGACCUGGUAUCUCAGAGCCUGCUCUCUUCACCUCGGAGGACACAGGCGAUGCUGACGUCCUGGAGUGGACACCUCCAACUAUGAUAAAUCCGGGAGCUGCAGCAGGGGAUUUGCAGAUGUCUUAACACUUGUUCCUGCAUUAAGCAAUCUGCUUGAUCGGUUGUCUUUGGAUUGUUUGUAAACAAGCAUGAUAAAAUGCUAAAUUAAAACAUUUUCACUUAAUAACAUAAUUGGCUUUGGCUGGACACAUAGCCAGAGUGGACAUAGAGCCAGCAAAACCAAAUGAUCAAAUAGAUACCAAAAUUCUAAAACCUGAUAAAGCACAGUCAGCUGCCACCAGGCAUUUGAAUAUGUUUUUUUAAACUGCAGAAGUUUACCCAACACACCAGAGUGUUAGUAAUUUUCAAUGUGAUCUUGGACUAAAUUAACUAUCCUAUUCUGAGACAGGGUAAUGGCUUCUCGGCUUUAAUGUGAUCAGCCCCAGGCCCAGGCAGACAGCACCUAGAGUGCCGACCACACACACUCUUCACGACUCUUCCAGGGCGACUCAGGAGCCACUGUCCCGACUUGCCCCACGUGGCCACAGGCUGCUCUCUCGGUGCCUGAGGGUUCUGGGAUCUGAGGAGUCUGACCAGGACUGACCAUGCCAGGGUUCAGAACUGUUGUCCAACUGAUCAAUCUGCCUGCAGAAGGCCGUGCUAGAAGUCAAUCAUUCAAAUUUGUGCACAGGAAUGAAGUUCUAAAUGGUCUAUUUCUAGGAGCCAGUGGAUGCAUAAUUAAGGGUAAUGGUCCAGAGAAUGAAUCCUUCCCAUCUUUCACUUGAUAAAAACAACUGUAAUAUCAACAAAGCAGUGAAAGCACUUAUCACUCAGUGGAGUUCUGCGUCCUGCCUGCUCUCAGCACUUCCUGAGUCUCAGGUCAAUUCGUCCUCACCUUCACCUUCACACAUUACUGCUGCUGAAUGUUUCCAACAUUCAGAUGAGGAGCCCGGGCUGCAGACACAGCUUCAGUAAGGGCUUGACACUACCAAGGACGUCGUGUAAAAUGAAUCCUGUAUACUGAUCACGCGGUGAAGGUCAAGAACAACUCUACGACCACGUCAGGUACCUCGCUCCAUCCUCUCUCGACCCCUCUUGGUGGUCAUCCUGUCACUUCCUCAGACGAGGAAACUGAGGCUUUAACAGGAUAAAAUGGCCCAUUCAAAGUCACCACCAGUUCCUAGGAGGCUUGGACACAGCUUGGGUUUUCUAGGGCUCUUCCUACCAAACCGUUGCUGGCUUGAUCUGUGUCACUGUCCUGGAGCAAUGACGCAGCCACAGGAGGUCUGUUGCAGCUAACUACCUGGAGUAUCUCCAUGUUGCCCCACAGACCACACGGACACCACCAUGACACAUAAUGCGCUGACACACAGCUUCAGCGCAUCCGGUCAUCAGCAGAGGCCUGGGCUCCCCGGAGCUGCACGCCCACGGUGGGAUGUCCCGCUGCAACACAAGCACGUCAUCCUGGGCUCCUGGCUCCUGUCUCCUUUAUGUCCUCCUGGGUCCUGGUUUAAGGUCUCUAAUCUUUCUAUUUGGGAAGUGACAGAGUCCACUGCUCUAAGAUGAUGACCUAGAGGGACACCGCUGCUUAUUCACAAGGCUCUGGCUUUUGAAAUUACUUUAAAACAAACACCAACCAAUGGCAUGGGCUAAGGGCAAGUGUGGGUGGGCAAGCGCAAGCUCGCUGCUGGUGCUCUGAGAGUCACGAGAACGUGGCCAUGCUGACCUCCCGAGCCGCAGCCCUUUCAGAGGACCAUGAUAUCAUGGGUGGCAGGGGAUCUGGGGACAGGAGGAACAGGAAGGAGGCCAGGUUCAUUCAGAAGGCAGAGGCGGGGCCGCUGGCAAAACCACUGCCGUCCAUCUGCAGCGCAGGGGAUCCUUUGUUUCUCGCGAGUGCCAAGAGGGUGACUCAGUCAACACGGCUUUGAAGAGAUCUGCAGGUCACCUGUUCUACCCUCCCUGGCCUGUGGCCUCCAAGGAGAGAUGGACAGCCGUUGUCUGCUGGAGGGACAUCUGGACCUGAGUCUUGUGCUUAUGGGGGUCAGUCAGUGGCAGAAUCACGUGCGUGAUCAGGGAAAACUCUCAAGUCUCAUUUUGCCAAAAGUUCUAAUCCUCCUACACGGAUCCACCUCCAAGGAAAUCCCAGGACUCACUGGUCCAAACCCACACUAAAAGUGUAGACGCUGCCACCUGUGGCUGCUGUUCCCUGGGAACGUGGGUGGUACCAUUGUGGAACUGAACAUUUUAUGUUAUAGAAUUUCAAUUUCAAUUUUAACUGAAGAACAUGCACAGUUGAGUUUGGUCUGUGCAGAAUGACUUGAAAAUGGAAAUCAACUUUUUCACUAAUGAAUUUGAAAUAUAAACAUAGAUUAAAGAUUUGUGAUGAGACUGGAACAUCCAAAAGGAAUGCCCCUCAUGUAUAAAAUACCAGAUUUUCUCACAAGGAUUUUGAAGAUUUGGUAUGAAAAAAGUGAAGUACUUCAAUAAUUCAUAUUACACAUUGAUAUGAUCUAUGAAUCAUGUGAUAUAUGAUUACACAUUGAAAUCAUGUGAUAUAGUGGGUUAAAUAAAAUGUCCUAUUAAAAUUAAUUUCAUCUGCUGCUUUUUACUUUUUCAAACAGAGCUACUGGAAAGGUUUA
Sciurus carolinensis (gray squirrel) is the source of this 4085-nucleotide long non-coding RNA. RefSeq lists it as uncharacterized. The record is from RefSeq and is a predicted model, not a curated record. Lineage: Eukaryota; Metazoa; Chordata; Mammalia; Rodentia; Sciuridae. The transcript has 3 exons.